UGGGGAAUUUUGGACAGUGGGCGAAAGCCUGAUCCAGCAAUGCCGCGUGUGUGAAGAAGGCCUUCGGGUUGUAAAGCACUUUUGUCCGGAAAGAAAUCCUUGGCUCUAAUACAGUCGGGGGAUGACGGUACCGGAAGAAUAAGCACCGGCUAACUACGUGCCAGCAGCCGCGGUAAUACGUAGGGUGCAAGCGUUAAUCGGAAUUACUGGGCGUAAAGCGUGCGCAGGCGGUUUGCUAAGACCGAUGUGAAAUCCCCGGGCUCAACCUGGGAACUGCAUUGGUGACUGGCAGGCUAGAGUAUGGCAGAGGGGGGUAGAAUUCCACGUGUAGCAGUGAAAUGCGUAGAGAUGUGGAGGAAUACCGAUGGCGAAGGCAGCCCCCUGGGCCAAUACUGACGCUCAUGCACGAAAGCGUGGGGAGCAAACAGGAUUAGAUACCCUGGUAGUCCACGCCCUAAACGAUGUCAACUAGUUGUUGGGGAUUCAUUUCCUUAGUAACGUAGCUAACGCGUGAAGUUGACCGCCUGGGGAGUACGGUCGCAAGAUUAAAACUCAAAUGAAUUGACGGGGU
This 571-nucleotide ribosomal RNA is filed under the name uncultured bacterium. RNAcentral describes it as "partial 16S ribosomal RNA". It matches the Rfam family "Bacterial small subunit ribosomal RNA", at positions 355 to 919 of the family's 1533-position model. The record is from RNAcentral.